UAGGGAAUCUUCGGCAAUGGACGAAAGUCUGACCGAGCAACGCCGCGUGAGUGAAGAAGGUUUUCGGAUCGUAAAACUCUGUUGUUAGAGAAGAACAAGGACGUUAGUAACUGAACGUCCCCUGACGGUAUCUAACCAGACAGCCACGGCUAACUACGUGCCAGCAGCCGCGGUAAUACGUAGGUGGCAAGCGGUGUCCGGAUUUAUUGGGCGUAAAGCGAGCGCAGGCGGUUUCUUAAGUCUGAUGUGAAAGCCCCCGGCUCAACCGGGGAGGGUCAUUGGGAACUGGGAGGGUUAAGUGGAGGAGAGAUGAGUGGAAUUCAAGGUGUAGCGGUGAAAUGCGUAGAUAUAUGGAGGAACACAAAUGGCGAAUGCGGCUCUAUGGUCUGUAACUGACGCUGAGACUCGAAAGCGUGGGGAGCAAACAGG
Molecule: ribosomal RNA, 429 nt
Filed under: Chloroflexota bacterium
Lineage: Bacteria; Bacillati; Chloroflexota
Description: Chloroflexi bacterium partial 16S ribosomal RNA
Rfam family: Bacterial small subunit ribosomal RNA
Source: RNAcentral